AGCAUGUGGUUUAAUUCGAUGCAACGCGAAGAACCUUACCUGGGCUUGACAUCCCGGGAAUCCCUUGGAAACAAGGGAGUGCCUUCGGGAACCUGGAGACAGGUGCUGCAUGGCUGUCGUCAGCUCGUGUCGUGAGAUGUUGGGUUAAGUCCCGCAACGAGCGCAACCCUUAUCCCCAGUUGCCAUCAGGUAAAGCUGGGAACUCUGGGGAGACUGCCGGUGAUAAACCGGAGGAAGGCGGGGAUGACGUCAAGUCCUCAUGGCCCUUACAUCCCGGGCUACACACGUGCUACAAUGGCAGGUACAGAGGGCUGCGAAGCCGCGAGGUGGAGCGAAUCCCAGAAAACCUGUCUCAGUCCGGAUUGAAGUCUGCAACUCGACUUCAUGAAGGCGGAAUCGCUAGUAACCGCGAAUCAGCAGGUCGCGGUGAAUACGUUCCCGGGCCUU
RNAcentral lists this ribosomal RNA (447 nucleotides) under uncultured Latescibacterota bacterium. Its description in RNAcentral is "bacterial SSU rRNA". It matches the Rfam family "Bacterial small subunit ribosomal RNA", at positions 936 to 1382 of the family's 1533-position model. The record is from RNAcentral. Lineage: Bacteria; Pseudomonadati; Candidatus Latescibacterota.